UAGUUGAUCAGUGGCUCAGGACGAACGCUGGCGGCGUGCUUAACACAUGCAAGUCGAACGGUAAGGCCCUUCGGGGUACACGAGUGGCGAACGGGUGAGUAACACGUGGGUGAUCUGCCCUGCACUUCGGGAUAAGCCUGGGAAACUGGGUCUAAUACCGGAUAGGACCAUGGACUUCACGGUUUGUGGUGGAAAGCUUUGCGGUGUGGGAUGGGCCCGCGGCCUAUCAGCUUGUUGGUGGGGUAAUGGCCUACCAAGGCGACGACGGGUAGCCGGCCUGAGAGGGUGUCCGGCCACACUGGGACUGAGAUACGGCCCAGACUCCUACGGGAGGCAGCAGUGGGGAAUAUUGCACAAUGGGCGCAAGCCUGAUGCAGCGACGCCGCGUGAGGGAUGACGGCCUUCGGGUUGUAAACCUCUUUCAAUAGGGACGAAGCGCAAGUGACGGUACCUAUAGAAGAAGCACCGGCCAACUACGUG
RNAcentral lists this ribosomal RNA (480 nucleotides) under uncultured bacterium. RNAcentral's name for it is "bacterial SSU rRNA". It matches the Rfam family "Bacterial small subunit ribosomal RNA", at positions 9 to 507 of the family's 1533-position model. The record is from RNAcentral.